AACGAACGCUGGCGGCAGGCUUAACACAUGCAAGUCGAACGCCCCGCAAGGGGAGUGGCGCACGGGUGAGUAACGCGUGGAUAUCUGCCUUUUGGUUCGGAAUAACCCCGGGAAACUGGGGCUAAUACCGGAUGGUUCCUACGGGAUAAAGAUUUAUCGCCAAAAGAUGAGUCCGCGUACGAUUAGCUAGUUGGUGAGGUAAUGGCUCACCAAGGCGACGAUCGUUAGCUGGUCUGAGAGGACGAUCAGCCACACUGGGACUGAGACACGGCCCAGACUCCUACGGGAGGCAGCAGUGGGGAAUAUUGGACAAUGGGGGCAACCCUGAUCCAGCCAUGCCGCGUGAGUGAUGAAGGCCUUCGGGUUGUAAAGCUCUUUUGGCGGGGACGAUGAUGACGGUACCCGCAGAAUAAGCCCCGGCUAACUUCGUGCCAGCAGCCGCCGUAACAC
RNAcentral lists this ribosomal RNA (450 nucleotides) under uncultured bacterium. RNAcentral's name for it is "bacterial SSU rRNA". It matches the Rfam family "Bacterial small subunit ribosomal RNA", at positions 29 to 526 of the family's 1533-position model. The record is from RNAcentral.